RNAcentral lists this transfer RNA (68 nucleotides) under Hyperhalosydna striata. Its description in RNAcentral is "tRNA-Thr". It matches the Rfam family "tRNA". Rfam says of the family: Transfer RNA (tRNA) molecules are approximately 80 nucleotides in length. The record is from RNAcentral. Lineage: Eukaryota; Metazoa; Annelida; Polychaeta; Phyllodocida; Polynoidae.
GCUUCUGAAGCUGAUAUUCAAUAGCGUUGGUCUUGUAAACCAAAGAAAGGGUUAUAACCCCUGAAGCU